This 494-nucleotide ribosomal RNA is filed under the name uncultured bacterium. Its description in RNAcentral is "bacterial SSU rRNA". It matches the Rfam family "Bacterial small subunit ribosomal RNA", at positions 28 to 517 of the family's 1533-position model. The record is from RNAcentral.
GAUGAACGCUAGCGGCAGGCUUAACACAUGCAAGUCGAGGGGCAGCGCGAUGUAGCAAUACAUUGGCGGCGACCGGCGCACGGGUGCGUAACACGUAUGGAAUCUGCCCUGUACUGGAAGAUAACCCGGCGAAAGUCGGACUAAUAUCCCAUAAUAGCCGAGGUGGCAUCACCUUGGUUUGAAAGCUCCGGCGGUACAGGAUGACCAUGCGCACGAUUAGCUAGUUGGUGAGGUAACGGCUCACCAAGGCUACGAUCGUUAGGGGGCCUGAGAGGGUUAUCCCCCACACUGGUACUGAGACACGGACCAGACUCCUACGGGAGGCAGCAGUGAGGAAUAUUGGUCAAUGGGCGGAAGCCUGAACCAGCCAUGCCGCGUGCAGGAAGACGGCCCUACGGGUUGUAAACUGCUUUUCCGGGGGAAGAAUAAGGGCGACGUGUCGCCCGAUGCCGGUACCCGGGAAUAAGGAUCGGCUAACUCCGUGCCAGCAGCCG